Dama dama (fallow deer) is the source of this 8437-nucleotide long non-coding RNA. RefSeq lists it as uncharacterized. The transcript is spliced from 3 exons. The record is from RefSeq and is a predicted model, not a curated record. Lineage: Eukaryota; Metazoa; Chordata; Mammalia; Artiodactyla; Cervidae.
GCUGAGGGCCAGGAAGGAGAGACUCGAUUCUGACGGGCGGUGCUUCCUGAGGGUCACAGGCCCCCAAAGUCACUUUGACCCCAAAUUGUAUUUAUAAAGCAGACAGAUGAGGAAAUGGAGACUGCAGGUUCAAAAGAAUUAUCUCAAAAUUCUUCUGAGCGAAUGUCCCUGCCUAUUGAAAGUCAUUGAGUUUUCGGUGGUGAAAGGCGUCUCAAGAAGCCUUGGCAGGCUUUCAGUGAGCGCCUUCUCUGGGCCAGUGUCUCACACACCCUCACUCCCCAGAUACCUCUUAAGGAUGGUCCCCAUUCCUCAGAGAGGAAGCAGCAGCUGAGUCACGCAGCUGACGAGUGGAGGAGCCAGAGUCCCGGGCCAGCUGGUCCCAAGGCCACGCCAGCUUCUCGAUGGACAGCUGAGGUCUCUGAGGUUUCCUAGGUUUUACCUUUAGAGCACCCAGGAACUUAGGUGGCAGAGGCACCGCAAAGACCCAGGCUGGGUGUCUGUUUUGAUAAGAGACAACAGCCCACUCUCCUAUCCAACCCUGUUCUUUUUAGACACUGGGCUGGCCAGGGAGGCUGGGCUUUGAAGCCCUUCCUCCUGAGGACCAUGGUAAUCAGCAGCAGGAUUUUGAGCUGGGUAACACCUUUAAUUUGACUCCAUCUCAGUGCAGAUGUCAACUCUGAUGGAAGAGGAAGCAAAUGACAGGUGCUUCUUAAGAAGGGAAUAUCUUUGGGGGGAAUGAGUUUGAGGGAGGAGACAGGCAGAGUCGGUGACAAUGAAAGUGAGUAGGAGUCUGGCUCUGUGAGUCACCAUCAGGGGCCCCUGGGUGUGUUCGGGUUGGGUUGUGUCACCCCCACAUUCACCUGUUGAAGUCCCACCCCCGCGUAUCUCAGAAGGAGGCCUUAUUAGGAAAUAGCAUCAGAUGUAGUUAGUGAAGAUGGGGUCCUCCUGGAGUCGGGUGGGCCCCUAGUGCAUGAUGGCUGCUGUCCUCCCAGGAAGGGGACCUCUGGGACAGGCGCUGAGAGAGGGUGUCAGGUGAGGGUGACAAAGGACUGCCAGGAGCGAGCAGGGUGGCUGGAAACAGCCCUGGAGGCUUCAGAGGCAGCCUGGCCCUGGAACGCCUUGAUCGCGGACUUGCAGCCCUCGGAACUGUGAGAUGAUACGUUUCUGUGGUUUGAGUCCCCUGGUUUCCUUUGAGGCAUUUGGUGAUGGCAGGUCUAGGAAAUGAGUACAAAACAGCGGCCAUCCUAAAAGAUGCUGCAGGAGGCGCCUCUGAGCAGCUCUCCACCCGCGCCCAGCUCUGGGUGGAUUAACCCUUAAGAAGCAUCUCCAGCAGUCUAUGAGUGAAUGACUGAGGCAGGCCAUCAGGUUUUAUUUAAGCACAUAAGAUGUUCUCACUUUUCCUGCAGUGCCGAAAGGCAACGGCUCAAAAAUGGAGUGUGGUCUCUACAUUUGCUGAAAGAAAAAUUUACAAAGGGAAGACAAGGCAAAGUGUGCUUUAUCCUUUCAAGUCUGAUGCUCCAUGCUGGAAGUAGGCUGUGGGGCGUGUCCACAGGCGGGCAGCUGUUUGGGUCAGUCACCCCCCAGGGCCUUCACCUGAGCGAAGGGCUCCAUGUAAGCAGGGAACCGCACACGAGAACAAUCGGAGCUUUCACGGUCAUUGUUGUUUUCCAGCUUCUUUCCCUUCCACCCAUGCUCACUCUCAUCACUCCACAUUUGCAGAGUGGGGCAGCGGUUCCCUAGGGGCCGGGAAGUCACAUUUUCUGGGGGGACUUUUUCCACAUUUCUUAGUUAUUGAACACGGGUGUCUGUGAGCCUAACAUAAACACGGGUUUGACAAGCAGUUCAGAAAAACAGGAACCAUCAAUUCAUGAGAACUUAAAGAAAAAAAAUAGUUUAAAGAACCGAGAAGUUGCCACAUUAUAGUGAAAGAAAGUCAGGUUUGGGAAAUGACAAAAGUGAGCAAUUUUCACCUCGAAAACCUGGUGGAAUCAGUUACACAAGAUGUAACCACACACAAACACAGGCAUUUCUUAUCACAUAAGAGCAUUUACAGUCAAGAAGCUUCUUUCAGAGUAUUUCAUGGAAAGUUAUUUUAGUAGCAAGGGGAGCCUUCAGCAAUGAGUAGUCGUCAAGUGAAACCCUGAGUUCAAAGUCAGUAGACAGAGGAGCCCAGACUCAGAACACGAGGCGACUGGCAGGGUGGGCGCCCACGUGCACAGCCCCUGCCUUGGGCACUGUGUGCUGCCCUUGUGACCAGGCAGUGGAGACACCAGCUGCCGGGGCCCCCUGCUUGCCACCGUUUGCUACAAGGGCCAGACUUUAAAUUUUUAAAUAGUUCUUAUAAAAUUGAGGGCAUGAUUUAAAGCAAAGCAAAAACUGGGUGUAAAAAAAUACAAUGCCCGUGGGAUGUGAAUGGCUUAUUCCCUUAAGGUAAUAGCUGAAGAAAAUAUAAAAGCCCCAGGUGGCAGCGGCCUGAGGAUGGAGGCACUGUAUGACUGUCCCAGGGCAGAAGAGGAGCCCUGCUGGGACCCUCAGCCCCUGGACGCCUGUCAUGUCGCCAGGUGCAGGCUUUAGAGAUAGAGAUUGGGAAGAGACUGAUGCCCGCCUGUAUUCUCACUGCUAGAGCUUUCUGCGGUUCCCAUCACAGUGUUUCCUUCUAGGCUUUCCCCUCGUAUGGAUUUAGUAAUUGCUUAAGUAAUCUGUAAUAUAAUCUUUAAAAUUUAGACUAGCACACUUCAUGGAGCACCCUUUAAAAAACAAAAAGUAUGUAUAUAUAUAUUUAUUUUUAACUGAAGGAUAUCAGUGUUGUGUUGGUUUCUACCAAACAGCAAUGAAUCAGCCAUGGGUUUGCCCAAGUCCCCUCCUACUUGAUAUCCCUCCCGCCUCACUCCCCAUCCCACCCCUCUAGGUUGUUACAGAGCCCUGGUCUGAGUUCCCGGAGUCCUGCAGCAAAUUCCCGUUGGCCAUCUACUUCACAUGUGGUCAUGUGUGUUUCUAUGCAGAGCACCCUGGCCUUCAUUUUUGGGUUCAGCUUACCUUGCAGUCAUGCACAACUAGUCUACAGAAGACUCUGCAUUUAGGGAUGUCUUCAGAAUUUGCCCUCUCUGCUGAAGAGUUUCUUGGCAUAAACCUUAAAAGGUAUAGCUAUACUCUUAAAAAAAAGUGAAGGAGUAAACCCAGCCUCCAGAAACACUGAUUUUUAAAAACAAAUAUAUAAACUACAGAUUGUUCUGGGGAGAGUUGGUUUAAAGGAGAAGUUGGUUUAAAGGGUGUGACAUCAAUUAUUCUUUUAAAAAUUGUCCACUCAUAUUCUUUCCCUAUUUUCCCCUUCCCUUCCUUCUUCCUUCCCUCCUCUCUUUCUUUCUUUCCUUCAUUUCUCCCCCUUCUUUCCUCCCUCCCUCCCUCCCUUCCUAUCUCCUUUCCUUCCUAGUUUUCUUUUUUGUUGUUGGUUCUGUAAGAGCUCUUCAACUAUUCUGAAUUUUAAACCUUUGAUAUAUAUACCCUGCAGAUAUUCUUUUCCCAGCCUGUUGCCUGACAUUUUACUUUGUUUCUUGUGUCUUAUUCCUUUUAUAGAAACAUUUAAUUUUAUGUAGUACAAUCUGUUUUUAUUUCCCUGACCCCCAGGUUUUAGCUUGCUUAGAAAAUAUGCUCCCACCUCUAGAUUACAAAAGUAUUCUCACAUAUUUUUUUGGUCUGAUGUUUUAUAAAUUUAUUUUUGAGCUUUAAAAUUCCAAGUCCAUGGGGAUUUAUUUUUGUUUAUGAUUUGAAGUUGUGGGGGGAUGCCUAAUGAGUCUUUAAAUGGCCAGCAUUUUUUCCCCAGUAUUAUUUUUUAAGCAGUUCACUCUUUCCUGCUGAAAUUAUAUUGUACAUUUAUACGUUUUUAGGUUGGGGGAGAUGGAGGGCGUGGCAUAAAUGAUUCUGGGUGGAAGGUGGGGUUGAGGGCUUUGACACAACACCUCUGCCUUUCAAACAUCCUGUGACCUCAGGGCUGAGGGACGCUCGGAGCUUUCAGAGAAUGUGAGAUAGAAAGAGGAAGGGGCAGCGGCAGAUAAAUGGGAGUACGCAGACAGUGGGCACAGUCAAGGGGACAGAAGCGCCUCGGCAGGGGAGAGAAGACGUCAGCAGAGGGCGUAGGGGAAGCUUGGAAUAAACAGGUCCUGUGGGCAGCCGGUUCAUAGAACACAGACACUCGGUGCAUGCAGGCAUACUGGGCCGGGUGCUGAGGAGACUCGUGGGUGCUGGGAGAACUGGGUUUGGAUGAAUGUCUUCACAUGGAGAAGAUCUGACCUAAACGUGGAAAAGUAGACAUGCCAUCCAGAGAGAAAAGAAGCCUGAGUUUUCUGGAGCCAAAAACAAACAGAUCAAUGAAGAUAACCUCAAGAUCAGACCUACUGGAGAUUUGGAGCUCGCUUGGAAGGCACUUGUCACGGAAGCCUGGUGUGCAUGGCCAGGAAGGAGUGACCUGGCCCAUGGCAAGGUGGCAGAUGGAUACAUGAGAGCCAUAAUCAAGACAGAAGCGGCGACUGGGAGAACUGGCUGAGUUGCGAAACUCCAGGUCGCCCACGCCACCCUUGACAUUUGAGAACUCAGAGCAGAUGGUAACACCUGGGCCAGUCUACACAGAUGGGCAAGGAAGAUAGCUGCUACCACGUGAGGGGUGGGCAUGGGGUGGAAGUCAUUUCUCUCGCCCAAGAUUACAGAGGGAUUCCCCAUUUCCCUCAGGUGUGGUGGCUGAGCAGCACCAGUGACAAAUGGGAACACCUGCAUGUCAGGUGUGCGCCGUGGUGGGGGCCCUGCCGGCCACCGAGGCAUGGCCAGCUCCUUCGGCCAGCUGUCUGCGCAGAAACUGCGUGGUGACCGGAGGAAGUUGGAGGCAUAGACAGGCCGUUUCAGUGAUGGACGGCUAAGCACUGCCAGGCGGUAACUGCGGUCCCAGACAUGUAUUUCAAUCAUCUCAAGCUUCAAGAGGACCCAGUGACCAUCUCAUAUAACCCCAUCUGUACCUCUCUACUCUCCAACAUCUCCUCUAAUGACCAGAUGCCAAGGACAUCUUCUAAUGGCUAGUAAAGUGGAGUCUUCAUUAAGCCAGGCUGUUUAUUGGAAAAUCUGCCAAAUUCUGAUCUACAUUCAGCCCCUUGUACAGAGCAGUUCAGCCUGUCUGUUCCCAGGCCUCUCUCAUGGCCCUCCAAGAUAAUCCAAGACCCAACUGAAGACGGGUGGAUGUACUUCUCUUCUCCUGCACCUCAUCCCCUGAAGCAGCCAGAUCUCUUCCUACCUCUCCCAGCCCAUUCCUUCUCAGUUCCUCUUUGAUUUACCCUCCAUGUCUUCUUUCCCCUUCACCCCAACUCUGAGCCUCGCUCCUCUUCCAUAGUCAUCUGGUAGUGGCAUCUUUGGUUUGCUCCAAUUUUUAUCUCUUCUUCACCCUUGAAACCUUUAAACCUAUCAGUGCUCACUGUCCACACCUCCAGAAGUCAUCUUCCUUGGAAGGGAUGAUGAUGCAGAUUUUAUAGAACCCAGUUGAAAAUCUGAUGUCUUCAAUGAUGAAGUUCUUUCAGGAAAUCAUUGAUGUUAGAUUCUGAAACACCUUUCCUGUCUUAAAGAAUGAAGUCCCAUGUAUGUGAUGGGGUUCAAUCUUCCUCUGUAGGAUCAAUAACAACAAUGUCCCAAAGGAUCUGAGUGAUUCCCCAGCUAUACCUGAGCUAUUUGGUGGUUUCAAACCUUGGCCCCAGAUUACCCUGACCAAGUGAGUUCAUGUGAGUCCCUAAAAAGUUGUUUCCCACCUAGGGUACAGGUUACUGGCCGAAUCCGGGAUGAACUGUUACAGGUGGGACCUCAGACACGCUUAUUCUAGGAAGGCAGGUCCCAGGGAAGCUCGCUGGGUAUCCGGGAGCUUGUCUGUCUUCCCUGGGGUGACUCAGAGCAGAGCAUCUGUUGUUCAGUUGCUAAGUUAUCUCUGACUCUGCGACUCCAUGGACUGCAGCAUGCCAGGCUUCCCUGUUAUCAUCUGCUGGAGUUUGCUCAAACUCAUGUCCAUUGAGUUGGUGAUGCCAAUCAACUGUGUCAUCCUCUGGGGUCCCCUUCUCCUCCUGGCUUCAAUCUUUCCCAGCAUCAAAGUCUUUUCCAAUGAGUUGGUUCUUCAUGUCAGGUGGCUGAAGUAUUAGAGUUUCAGCUUCAGCAUCAGUCCUUCCAACAAAUAUUCAGGGGCAUCUGACAGUCCCAUAACUGAACACCAAGAUGCUAUGUUCCUUUAUUUUUUUUUUUUUUGGCCAUGCUCGGGAAGCAUGUGGGAUCUUAAUUCCCUGACUGGGGAUCAAACCGGGAGCCUUGCAUUGAAGCUCAGAGUCUUAAGCAAUGAACCAUCAGGGAAGUCCCUACAUUCCUUACAAGUUUAUGUAAAGACACAUCUGUGAUCCCUGUGGGAUGCAGGGCCCCUCAUCUCUUCCCCACAUCAGCCUACAGCUGUAGAGUGGCAAACUCAAAGCUCCUCAGGGAAGAAGGCAGGGAAGGAAGAUGACAAACGUCUGCUGCAGAGUGCAAAGGGAACUCAGAUUCUCAGAUUCCAUCCAUGGGUAAAGAAGGGACAUGGUUCCCUGAAUGUCAGGACACUGGGGAGUGUCCUGAACCAAGAUCAGCUUUCCCUCCCAGAUACCAGCUAUUUUCACUGACAGAGCUGGUGGUGAACAUGGUUUUCUUACGUGGAAACAAUGAGAUCCUUGAUGUCACAACCCAGAAGUAACCAGAUGUGUCCACACUGACCAGGGAGAGGAAGGCCAUUCUUGAGUAAAUGGUGUCCAGAAGUUGGACAGAAUUCGUACAUCUGGUUGUUCUGUUCCCCCUUAGAGGGAUAGUGUGUGGUGAUUAAAAAAAAAAAAAAAAAACUACAACAAAAAAAACAAACAUUUGGGGCUCCCCUGAUGGUCCAGUGGCUAAGACUCCAAGCUCCCAGUACAGGGGGUCUGGGUUCCAUCCCUGGUCAGGAAACUAGAUCCCACAUGCCACAACAAAAGAUUCCACAUGUUGAAACUUAGACCCAGUGAGUGUGUGCUAAGUCGCUUCAGUUGUGUCCAAUUCUUUAUGAUUCUAUGGGCUGUAGCCUGCCAGGCUCUUCUGUUCACGGGACUCUCCAGGCAAGAAUACCCAGUGCAGCCACAUAAAUAGACAAAAAUAAAUAUACAAAAUAUAUAUAUAUUUGAAAAAUGCCUUGAUUUCUAGAUUUUCCAGAAUCUUGGGCAAGUUAAUCUCUUCUAAGUCUUAUUUUUACCGCCUCUAAUAGAGACAGCACUCAUCACGUGGUUCCCACCUAAGGCAGGGGUCACGCUCAACUCAGUAACGGGUGGGGAUCUGUGGACAGCCUGGGAGGAUUCCACCUGUGUAAAUACAGCUCUCCUCAACCUGGCCUUGUGCCCAGCACCUGCCAUGGAAGCAGAAACAGCCUCUAAGUUUGCUCAGAAUCCCUUGCAAGGCCAGGUGGGCUUGGUUGUGCCUUACAUACGACAGGUCUCACCGUGAGGGCUGAAAGGCAUCGCUCUCAACGUGGAUCAGCUUUACACUGAGUCACAAGUCACUAGAGGAUUUCUUUACUACUUGGGGCUUUCCGAGAAGUGUCUGUGCUUGGGUAGUUUUUGUCUUAUAAAAGUUUCCCACCUGCAGUGGAGUUUAUAAUUACUUCAGAGCUUUUUAUAAAUGAACUAGAUUUCCUUUGCACUCAGGAUAAUUUACAGAGUCAUCAGUCACUUCAGUGCAGCUGGGAGCUUCACACCAACCGUGCAAACGCACCUUGAAAAUGAAACUGCAUGUAAGUGGGAGCCAGGAAGCAUGCCUUUGAGGGAAGCAGAAACAACUGUCCAACAAAUGGUUGCUCCUGUGUAUCUGCUAAUAAAAACUCUUGACAUUUUUAAGAAAAAAAAAAUCCCAAAUCAUUCACCAAGAUUUAUGUGGAUCUCAUAAAUGAAACAAUAAGGAUUACGAGUUAAAAAAAGAAUCAUUCUGGUCUAAAGCUUGUAUUAAAAUAUCCUUAAAUGAUUUAUUUAGCUGUAAAAGUGCUGGAAGGCAUGCCUUUCUGCCCUCCCCUGCAUAUCCUGCCCCACCCCCCAUUUUACCGACACUGUUUCUGCUUGGGAAUUUUUUUGGUGAGCAUGGAUGACACCUUAAACUACUUGAGUUAAACUGCAAAUAAAGUCACACAUUAUGCAAACAAAAAUGACUGCACUUCCCAAUUUCGAGCGACUUGAAUGUGAACUGGACGUUCGCCUUCCUAAACCCCAGGAGAUUCCGGAAUUCUAGAAGGAGUCAGAACACACCCGCAGUUGUCUCCUGCCUGGGACUCAGUGUCAUUCCUGGCACGUGCCUUUCAACGGGUCCAUUUCUGUUAAAAGUUUGCUCUUAGCCUCGGGGCUUUUUUCCUGCCGCUGCACCUAAUUCAUUACUUUAUAGUCUA